This 210-nucleotide long non-coding RNA is filed under the name Brassica napus (rape). RNAcentral's name for it is "long non-coding RNA (BNAP_LNC007794)". Lineage: Eukaryota; Viridiplantae; Streptophyta; Magnoliopsida; Brassicales; Brassicaceae. The record is from RNAcentral.
AUGUAGUUAUGCGUGGCUUGAGUUGUUUUCUGUGUGUUUGAGUUUGCGUUUGGCAGUAUGUUUGUGUUCUAUUUAUUUUAUGUGUGUUUAAAUAGCUUUGAUAAUGUUGCGUCUUAGAUUCUGCUUUUGGAUGGUGACAAGAUACAAAAACAGAAAUAGUUGGCAGGCUCAACCUGCUGAUCAAGCCAGAGGACUGGCUUAUCCAGUUUG